Molecule: long non-coding RNA, 184 nt
Organism: Lingula anatina
Lineage: Eukaryota; Metazoa; Brachiopoda; Lingulata; Lingulida; Lingulidae
Source: RefSeq, a predicted model, not a curated record
AGCACACCUGGACAAUCUAUUUUUGCUUAAGUUUAACAUGCUGUCAAAGCUCUUUUUGUAAGAAAAACCGCGGAGAAACUGCGCAACAUGGGCCUGCAAGCAACAAGGUCUUUGGUUGACAUAUAUCAUACUCAAUUUCAUGUAUAUCUUAUGAUAAAUCCGAAUAAACAUGUCUUUAAUUCCU